ACAAGCGGUGGAGCAUGUGGUUUAAUUCGAUGAUACGCGAGGAACCUUACCUGGGCUCAAAUGUAUGUUGACGUAUUCUGAAAAGGGAUACUUCUUCGGACAAUAUACAAGGUGCUGCAUGGUUGUCGUCAGCUCGUGCCGUGAGGUGUCGGGUUAAGUCCCAUAACGAGCGCAACCCCUAUCAUUAGUUGCCAUCAGGUCAAGCUGGGGACUCUAAUGAAACUGCCUACGCAAGUAGUGAGGAAGGUGGGGAUGACGUCAAAUCAGCACGGCCCUUACGUCCAGGGCUACACACGUGUUACAAUGGCCGGUACAGAGGGCAGCCACCCCGCGAGGGGGCGCGAAUCCCGAAAGCCGGUCCCAGUUCGGAUCGGAGUCUGCAACCCGACUCCGUGAAGCUGGAUUCGCUAGUAAUCGCGCAUCAGCCACGGCGCGGUGAAUACGUUCCCGGGCCUU
RNAcentral lists this ribosomal RNA (456 nucleotides) under uncultured Bacteroidota bacterium. RNAcentral describes it as "bacterial SSU rRNA". It matches the Rfam family "Bacterial small subunit ribosomal RNA", at positions 925 to 1382 of the family's 1533-position model. Lineage: Bacteria; Pseudomonadati; Bacteroidota. The record is from RNAcentral.